GGUGAAAUGGCUGAGAUCUAGGCGAUAAAUUGUAAAUUUAUUUACGAAAUGAUAUUUCUUUCACCA
RNAcentral lists this transfer RNA (66 nucleotides) under Aromia bungii. RNAcentral describes it as "tRNA-Tyr". Lineage: Eukaryota; Metazoa; Arthropoda; Insecta; Coleoptera; Cerambycidae. The record is from RNAcentral.